Molecule: long non-coding RNA, 2849 nt
Organism: Harpegnathos saltator (Jerdon's jumping ant)
Lineage: Eukaryota; Metazoa; Arthropoda; Insecta; Hymenoptera; Formicidae
Exons: 3
Source: RefSeq, a predicted model, not a curated record
UAUUCAACCUGAAUGUAUGACAUGCGACCAUUUUUCUAUUCCAAUCGCUACCCCUGAUUGAGCGCAACGGCGAGUAAUAAGGCGUAAAAAGCUAUUAGAUUGGCCGACGAGAUCCUCCAUUUCGCGCUCCUUCUAUCCCCUCGUCCUCGAGAGAUCCUCGCGUCUUGAAAGGCUUUCGACUCCGCCGAUGACGUGGACUGGAGCGCGCGAAACGACGGCUGUAAGACCGGUUAUCUCUCUCGGUUGUCAUUCUCUUGUCCGCAUGCGUCCACAUCUCUCCGAUUCACUCGAGCGGCCAUGUUUGCAGCCGAGAAACCGAUCGGUUCUCGGCCGACAUAUCGCUCACUAUGACGAAAAAGAUGCCGAUUGCUCGUAAAGGAAAAAGGCUCGGAAUUUUGCUCGCAGCGUAAUUGUCGAAGCCGAACGCAUCUCGGGCGCACGAAGGAAGAAAACGGAAUUCCUCGCUCUCGGAAAUCGAAUUCGCCUCGUAAUGCGCAAAAUUCCUGGGAGAUGGACGCUGACGUUGAACGGUUGGGGCAAGCCGGCGGCCCUGACGCGACGUGCAGCAGCGACAGAAAAUUCCGCGCGCGCGAGCGAAGGGUCAACAUCGUCUCGUAGUAAUAGACACCGGCGAGAAGAGCGCGGCGGUUUCGCGAAGGUGGCGGCGGAGGUGACGGUCGGGUGGUGGUGGGUGGUGUGGUGCUGCUGUGGGUGGUAGGUCGACCGCGCGGGGACCAGGGAAUAGCCUCGGGGUUAGGGGCUGACGGGUCGAGGCGGGCGGAAAAGGGGCGACUCCGGCAGUCAGCGGGUUAGUGCCGCUCCGUGCGGGCGUCGCGUGUGCGUGCCGCGCACUACCCUCGUGAAAUUCCGCCGAGAGGAGAGUGUGAGGGAGAGAGGGAGAGAGAGAGAGAGGGAGGAGCGAACGAGAGAGCGAGAGAGUUCUCGCGCUCGUUAUCGCGUCGCGGAUCACGUGCCCACGCAUAUUUCGCGCGCGCAACGGGCGCGUUCGGAACGUUCCGCUCCAGCCCUAUCGACCUCGAAGCAGCGGCGAGUUCUCCCGCACGUCGUCGCUCGUUGUCGCAAAUUCCCCGGCGACGGAGAACUGUCGCGCGACUCUCUCUUUCGGCGGUCGCGUCGCGCGAGUGAUCGGCGCGUGUAGCGCAGGAUUACGAAGUGAUUACUGGCGCGACGAAGCCAGGCGGCUGCCGAGCCGCAUCGGUACAGUGUCGUCGUCUGUGCGGUCGAGGAAGAAGCUGUGUUCGUCGAGGACGCUCGCUAGGAUGAUCCGCGGCUAAUCCCGCGGAGUGUCGCCCGACGCCUGCGAAUCUUACCGUGCUCGCGAUUUUAGUGCGCCAAGCGCGCAACGACGCGAGAAGAGAGUUACGAGAGUGAGUCCCGGCGCGUUGUGAACGCGCGGACUUUUGACAGUGCCACCCCGCGAAGCGUGAAGAAGCUUUUACGCACGUUUUACGGAGAGGUCCGCUCGUGACGUGACUUUCGUCUCUCCGCUGCGAACGCAAGACGCGACGGCGUUACCGUUGCGUUGUUAUCCGAGACGCGAGCUCCUUGGAAAGCUCGCGCGCGAUUAAUGAGGGAGAAAUUUCUUGUCGUUUCGCGGAAGCCGCGCUCGCGCGCGGAAUUAAGUAAUCUCUUUUCUCGCGCGCGCACGACGGUCGCGGAAAACGACGGGAAAGCUGCGCGCGGCCGCAUUACUCGCGUGUCUCGCGAGUUCACUUCCGCCUGGCUUCUCUGCGCCACUUGGACUUUUCGCGAAGUGUCGUCGUUGUCGUCGUCGUCGUCGUCGUCGUCGUCGUCGUCGUCGUCGUCGUUACUGUGUCUGGCAAUUAGCGACGUGCGUCGCGCGAUUUUACACACGUGAAAAAAGAUGGAAUAAAACAGAAAAACUCGCACAUGCAUCCGACAGAUCACUCGUGAAGUUUCGCAAUAUUGUUGAUACCGGUGUGUGUAGCAGACAAAUCCGAGUGCAUAGCGGAGAUACUUUUUGCGGAUAAUUUCGAUGAAAUCGCUGAAUCGCGCCAUCGGCCGGAAACAACGCCGCAGUCCGAGCGGACCUAACCGAGCAUAUCGCGCGCGUGGACUUUUUGUCUGCGGUCGCAUCCGCGUGUGUGUAUAUCGUAGAAAUCGCGUUACCGUUGUCCCGCGUCGUCGUUGUUUCCGCGGGAACAAAAGGAAAAUAGGAAUAAAAGGCGGAGAAAGCCGCCGUCUAAUCCGCCGCGCAAACCGAAACUCGAUUCACCUCGGAGCCGGAACGACCGAUCGAGGUCUCUCGCGACCGCUCGAACGUCGUCAUCGUCGUCGUUGUGGUCGCGGAGCGUCCUGGUGUUAACGCGAGUCGAGUUGACGCGAUAUCCCAGGAGUCGUUCUCGCCGAUCGAUCGUCGAGCCGACACGCGGAAAAUUCGCCAAAGUUUCCCAUCACCUGCCCCGCGCGCGCCGCGCCGCUAAUUUCUCCCCGCGCGGGAAAGACGCCGCGAAACUUUCGCCGCGAUCGACCGGAAGAAUCUGUUGCGAGAUGCGCCGGCGGCCAGCCGAAGGAGGCGGCAGCGGCGGCGGCGGCCGCGGCGGGGACGACGGCGACGGCGGUGGUGUGGAAAUCUUCUUCGAGGUUGAGCCGAGGUUGAACCGAUAGAGACUCGGGAAUACAGCAGUGCUGCCGCACAGUCGCCGGAGGAUUAACUGUUAAUUAGCAGACAUGUAUGCCCACGUGCAUGGGGAUAACGGCAUGUGCUGUUAUCUUCCCACCGUUCUGUAUCUCGAACGAUACCAGGCUCACCGAGCUCUGGAGCUCCUCGAGGAUUACCACGCUAAACUGACGAGGCCGCAAGACAA